GACCACUUAACUAUCCGAGCAUUGCUUUCUUUAGCUUUAUAUCCUUCAUCCCGGCACAUCCUCCAGCGAAUAGUAUUUUCCACCUGGUUCGGAAGGCGAGGCCCAGGUCAGAGCAGUGGGAGGAGAGGCCGAACAGGAUGCAGCCUGUAGCCACAGCUAAGAGCUCCGCAGGAAAGAGAAGGAAUUUAGUCCACACAGCUUAACACUGAGAGCCGGGCAAUGGUGGUGCACACCUUUAAUCCCAGCA
Long non-coding RNA from Mesocricetus auratus (golden hamster), 247 nucleotides. RefSeq lists it as uncharacterized. Lineage: Eukaryota; Metazoa; Chordata; Mammalia; Rodentia; Cricetidae. The record is from RefSeq and is a predicted model, not a curated record. The transcript has 3 exons.